UGACAAUAGAGUGUGGUGUCAUGUUUGU
This 28-nucleotide non-coding RNA is filed under the name Homo sapiens (human). The record is from RNAcentral. Lineage: Eukaryota; Metazoa; Chordata; Mammalia; Primates; Hominidae.